This 113-nucleotide ribosomal RNA is filed under the name Bacillus cereus. Lineage: Bacteria; Bacillati; Bacillota; Bacilli; Caryophanales; Bacillaceae. The record is from RNAcentral.
CUUGAUGAUGGCAGAGAGGUCACACCCGUUCCCAUACCGAACACGGAAGUUAAGCUCUCUAGCGCCGAUGGUAGUUGGGACCUUGUCCCUGUGAGAGUAGGACGUCGCCAAGC